UACGGGGGGAGCAAGCGUUGUUCGGAUUUACUAGGCGUAAAGGGCGCGUAGGCGGUGCGGUAAGUCACCUGUGAAAUCUCCUGGCUCAACUGGGAGCUUGCAGGCGAAACUGCCGUGCUGGAGUGUGGGAGAGGUGCGUGGAAUUCCUGGUGUAGCGGUGAAAUGCGUAGAUAUCAGGAGGAACACCUGUGGCGAAAGCGGCGCACUGGACCACAACUGACGCUGAGGCGCGAAAGCUAGGGGAGCAAACAGG
Molecule: ribosomal RNA, 253 nt
Filed under: uncultured bacterium
Lineage: Bacteria
Description: partial 16S ribosomal RNA
Rfam family: Bacterial small subunit ribosomal RNA
Source: RNAcentral